CUGUAUGUAUUCAUGCAUCAAAAGAUUACAAGGAACUCUACAAUAUUAACAAUGCUCAUCUCAGAAGUAUGUUAAUAAGUGAUUGUUUUAUUGUUUAUACUUUCACACACUGAUUUUUGCAUGGUGAUUAUACACUACUUUCUAAUCAGAUUUUUUUUUAAUGUAAAUAAUAAUAAAUGCAGGUCUUAGCCAUUGUUUCUUUUCAUUUCCUUGAAGCAUUUCUUUGAAGGUGUUGAAGCUCGCGUGGCACAGGGCAUAAGGGAGGAGGAAGUAAGUUACCAACUUGCAUUUAACAAACAAGAACUUCGUAAAGUCAUUAAGGAGUACCCUGGAAAGGAAGUAAAGAAAGGUCUAGAUAACCUCUACAAGAAAGUUGAUAAACAUUUAUGUGAAGAAGAGAACUUACUUCAGGUGGUGUGGCACUCCAUGCAAGAUGAAUUUAUACGCCAGUAUAAGCACUUUGAAGGUUUGAUAGCUCGCUGUUAUCCUGGAUCUGGUGUUACAAUGGAAUUCACUAUUCAGGACAUUCUGGAUUAUUGUUCCAGCAUUGCACAGUCCCACUAAACCUUGUGAAAGAAGAAAAGAUAACUGAAUGAAGCAUUUGAGUAUACCAGACACUAUACCAAAAUACCAAGCAACUGUUUUG
RNAcentral lists this small RNA (646 nucleotides) under Pan troglodytes (chimpanzee). Its description in RNAcentral is "retained intron". Lineage: Eukaryota; Metazoa; Chordata; Mammalia; Primates; Hominidae. The record is from RNAcentral.